ACGUUGAAACAUCGGUUCACGUACGAACACCGAAUUUAAGCAAAGUUGAGCCUGGUCAGUACAUAGAUGGGUGACCGCUUGGGAAUACCAUGAUCUGU
Molecule: non-coding RNA, 98 nt
Organism: Acanthosepion pharaonis
Lineage: Eukaryota; Metazoa; Mollusca; Cephalopoda; Sepiida; Sepiidae
Source: the annotation of a GenBank genome assembly